UGGGGAAUUUUGGACAAUGGGCGCAAGCCUGAUCCAGCCAUGCCGCGUGCGGGAAGAAGGCCUUCGGGUUGUAAACCGCUUUGUCAGGGAAGAAAUCCUCUGAGUUAAUACCUCGGGAGGAUGACGGUACCUGAAGAAUAAGCACCGGCUAACUACGUGCCAGCAGCCGCGGUAAUACGUAGGGUGCAAGCGUUAAUCGGAAUUACUGGGCGUAAAGCGUGCGCAGGCGGUUUUGUAAGACAGAGGUGAAAUCCCCGGGCUCAACCUGGGAACUGCCUUUGUGACUGCAAGGCUUGAGUGCGGCAGAGGGGGAUGGAAUUCCGCGUGUAGCAGUGAAAUGCGUAGAUAUGCGGAGGAACACCGAUGGCGAAGGCAAUCCCCUGGGCCUGCACUGACGCUCAUGCACGAAAGCGUGGGGAGCAAACAGGAUUAGAUAGCCCUGGUAGUCCACGCCCUAAACGAUGUCAACUGGUUGUUGGGAAGGUUCCUUCUCAGUAACGUAGCUAACGC
This 510-nucleotide ribosomal RNA is filed under the name uncultured bacterium. RNAcentral's name for it is "partial 16S ribosomal RNA". It matches the Rfam family "Bacterial small subunit ribosomal RNA", at positions 355 to 858 of the family's 1533-position model. The record is from RNAcentral.